GUGGGGAAUAUUGGGCAAUGGGCGAAAGCCUGACCCAGCAACGCCGCGUGAAGGAAGAAGGUUUUCGGAUCGUAAACUUCUAUCCUUGGUGAAGAUAAUGACGGUAGCCAAGAAGGAAGCCCCGGCUAACUACGUGCCAGCAGCCGCGGUAAUACGUAGGGGGCAAGCGUUGUCCGGAAUGAUUGGGCGUAAAGGGCACGUAGGCGGCCCGGUAAGUCUGAAGUGAAAGUCCUGCUUUUAAGGUGGGAAUUGCUUUGGAUACUGUCGGGCUUGGGUGCAGGAGAGGUAAGCGGAAUGCCCGGUGUAGCGGUGAAAUGCGUAGAGAUCGGGAGGAACACCAGUGGCGAAGGCGGCUUACUGGACUGUAACUGACGCUGAGGCGCGAAAGUGUGGGGAGCAAACAGGAUUAGAUACCCGGGUAGUCC
RNAcentral lists this ribosomal RNA (425 nucleotides) under uncultured bacterium. Its description in RNAcentral is "partial 16S ribosomal RNA". It matches the Rfam family "Bacterial small subunit ribosomal RNA", at positions 354 to 796 of the family's 1533-position model. The record is from RNAcentral.